This 253-nucleotide ribosomal RNA is filed under the name uncultured bacterium. RNAcentral's name for it is "partial 16S ribosomal RNA". It matches the Rfam family "Bacterial small subunit ribosomal RNA", at positions 524 to 776 of the family's 1533-position model. The record is from RNAcentral.
UACGGAGGGUGCAAGCGUUAUCCGGAUUCACUGGGUUUAAAGGGUGCGUAGGUGGAGUGGUAAGUCAGCGGUGAAAUCUCCAAGCUUAACUUGGAAACUGCCGUUGAUACUAUCAUUCUUGAAUAUCGUGGAGGUAAGCGGAAUAUGUCAUGUAGCGGUGAAAUGCUUAGAUAUGACAUAGAACACCGAUUGCGAAGGCAGCUUGCUACACGAUCAUUGACACUGAGGCACGAAAGCGUGGGGAUCAAACAGG